RNAcentral lists this ribosomal RNA (787 nucleotides) under uncultured bacterium. Its description in RNAcentral is "bacterial SSU rRNA". It matches the Rfam family "Bacterial small subunit ribosomal RNA", at positions 8 to 796 of the family's 1533-position model. The record is from RNAcentral.
AGAGUUUGAUCCUGGCUCAGGACGAACGCUGGCGGCGUGCUUAACACAUGCAAGUCGAGCGAUGAACCUUUCAUGAAUUUUUCGGAAUGAUUGGAAGAGGAUUAGCGGCGGACGGGUGAGUAACGCGUGAGCAACCUGCCUUAAACAACGGGAUAGCCUCGGGAAACCGGGAUUAAUACCGUAUGAGACCCCGCCUUCACAUGAAGAAGAGGUUAAAGAUUUAUCGGUUUAAGAUGGGCUCGCGUCUGAUUAGCUAGUUGGUGAGAUAAAAGCCCACCAAGGCAACGAUCAGUAACCGGCUUGAGAGAGUGAACGGUCACAUUGGAACUGAGACACGGUCCAAACUCCUACGGGAGGCAGCAGUGGGGAAUAUUGCACAAUGGGGGAAACCCUGAUGCAGCGACGCCGCGUGAGCGAUGAAGGAAUUCGUUUCGUAAAGCUCUGUCCAAGGGGAAGAUAAUGACAGUACCCUUGGAGGAAGCCCCGGCUAAAUACGUGCCAGCAGCCGCGGUAAUACGUAUGGGGGCGAGCGUUGUCCGGAAUUAUUGGGCGUAAAGGGUACGUAGGCGGUUAGAUAAGUCAGAUGUAAAAGCGUGGGGCUCAACCCCAUAAAGCAUUUGAAACUGUGUAACUUGAGUAGUGGAGAGGAAAGUGGAAUUCCUAGUGUAGCGGUGAAAUGCGUAGAUAUUAGGAGGAAUACCAGUGGCGAAGGCGACUUUCUGGACACAAACUGACGCUGAGGUACGAAAGCAUGGGGAGCAAACAGGAUUAGAUACCCUGGUAGUCC